ACCGGGGUGGCGCAGCGGGAGCGCGCGGGACUCAUAAUCCCGAGGACGUUGGUUCGAACCCAACCUCCGGUA
This 72-nucleotide transfer RNA is filed under the name bacterium. RNAcentral's name for it is "tRNA-Met". It matches the Rfam family "tRNA". Rfam says of the family: Transfer RNA (tRNA) molecules are approximately 80 nucleotides in length. Their secondary structure includes four short double-helical elements and three loops (D, anti-codon, and T loops). The record is from RNAcentral. RNAcentral also lists the same sequence under 1 other name.